CCCCUUAUAGCUCAAUGAUAGAGCUCCGGCUUGGAAAGCCAAAGACCAGUGGUUCGAUCCCCGUCAGGGACA
Molecule: transfer RNA, 72 nt
Filed under: Phytophthora infestans (potato late blight agent)
Lineage: Eukaryota; Oomycota; Peronosporomycetes; Peronosporales; Peronosporaceae
Description: tRNA-Ser
Rfam family: tRNA
About the family: Transfer RNA (tRNA) molecules are approximately 80 nucleotides in length. Their secondary structure includes four short double-helical elements and three loops (D, anti-codon, and T loops).
Source: RNAcentral